This 597-nucleotide ribosomal RNA is filed under the name Rhizorhagium roseum. Its description in RNAcentral is "partial 16S ribosomal RNA". It matches the Rfam family "Bacterial large subunit ribosomal RNA", at positions 1833 to 2597 of the family's 2925-position model. Lineage: Eukaryota; Metazoa; Cnidaria; Hydrozoa; Anthoathecata; Bougainvilliidae. The record is from RNAcentral.
GCCCUUGUAAUAAUCAAAGGUGCAACCUGCCCAAUGAUUUUUAAGUAAAUAAAAUUAAUAGUUUUAAAAUAAAAUUUAAAGGACGCAGUAUCCUAACUGUGAUAAUGUAGCAUAAUCACUCGCCAUCUAAUUAAUGGAUAGUAUGAAUGGUUAAACGAAUAUUACACUGUCUUUAAUAUAAUACUCAUGAAAUUAAAAUAAUAGUUAAGAUGCUAUUUAAAACUGUAAGACGAAAAGACCCUAUAGAGCUUCACUACAUUUUCUUUUAACAAAAUUUUAUAAUAUAAUAAAAAUAAUAAAGAAAAAGGUAGUUUAGUUGGGGAGACUAUCUUCUAUAAAAAACGAAGACAAGCAAUGUUAAUGAAAAACUUAUUGUAUAAUAAAUAAAUUUAACAAUUAUAAAAAUAGGCCAUAAUGACCCAUUAAGAUUAAGUAAUAAACUUAAUGAUUAAUAAAUAAAAGCUACCUUAGGGAUAACAGGAUAAUUUUGUUCUAGAGACCCUAUCGAAAACAAAGUUUGUCACCUCUAUGUUGAAUUAAGAUAUCCAGAUAAUGCAGAAGUUAUCAAAGGUAGGUCUGUUCGACCUUUAAAAUCUU